This 820-nucleotide long non-coding RNA is filed under the name Sorghum bicolor (sorghum). Its description in RNAcentral is "long non-coding RNA (SBIC_LNC000655)". The record is from RNAcentral. Lineage: Eukaryota; Viridiplantae; Streptophyta; Magnoliopsida; Poales; Poaceae.
GUGGCAGAACCUCCUGAAUUAAGUGGCCCACAUGCACCCAUCAUUGUCUCCAAGACUUCUGAUCGGCAUGCACGAGUUCCAAAUGACUCAAGAAGUCUGUCGGGUACCCUCGGAGGACCCCGAAUCAUCCACAUUUUAUCUCAUACAGGAUCAACAUGGAGUUACCACAACAUUACAACAUUUGUUACAAAAAUAACUUAGAUCAGAGUGCGGAAGAUUUAUAACUUAAUUUACAACAUAUGAUGAAGUACAAACUUAACUAAAUUUCCAAAAGGUGUGUAGAGUAGCGGAAGCAACUUAGGUGAAGCUUCUAAGGUAGAAGAGGUGGAUAAAUCAUGUCGCGCCCACCGACAUGACCUCCAUUAGCAGUUUAAGUCAGCACCUGCAACAGGGGUUAUAAAACCCUGAGUACAAAAGUACUCAACAAGACUUAACCGACUAGAAAAGAGGUGAAGACUCAGGUAUGCAGGCUAUAGGGAUUCAAGGUAAAGCUUUAUCAAGAUAAAGCAUUUCUUUUGCAUAAAAGCUUACUAAGAGUAAAACCUACUUUCAAGUUUUAACUCAAGAUCAUCAUUUAUGACUAACCAAAACUAUUAUCAAACUUUCAUAAGCAUACCACCUCUUUCUCUUACCAAAGAUAUUCACUUAUUACUACGAUGAUGGUACGAGGAUUGAGGCUCCAUAUCCGAGGAAACACGGCGAUUCGAAUCGAUUAAACCCAGCUGGGGAUUCAGUACCACACGACAUGACCAGAUAUUCAUACAGACCAUAUCGGGUAGUGAAUGCUGUUUUCGGAACAUCUUUUGAUUUGAUCUUAAUU